Carassius auratus (goldfish) is the source of this 903-nucleotide long non-coding RNA. RefSeq lists it as uncharacterized. The transcript has 4 exons. The record is from RefSeq and is a predicted model, not a curated record. NCBI's taxonomy places the organism in Eukaryota, Metazoa, Chordata, Actinopteri, Cypriniformes, Cyprinidae.
GUCUGUGAUAAGGUGACUGACGAAGCGAACCAGCGUGCUGAUAAACCGUUAAUGGAUAGAGGGAACUUCAGGAUGUUUUACAGCAGCGGAUCAUUGGGUUCCUGCCGGACCAGAGCAAGAAGGAUCCGGAGAAACACACUCGCUUCUUUGACGACUACGGGCUGUUUCUGCACGAGGGCAUCGUGACCACAGUAGAGCAGAGCGUCAAGAGGAAGACAUUGCUUUGAGUCAUCAGCACUUCCUGCGGGACAGCAGACCAGCCUGAUGGAGUACACCUCUCGGAUGAAGGCAGGAACGAGGAACAUUUACUAUCUGUGUGCACUGAAUCACCACCUGGCUGAACACUCGACAUGCUUUGAGUCCUUGAAACAGAAAGAUAUGGAGAUUUCCGACAAUGCCAUAAUCACCGCUGGCCUGAACCAGGACUCUCGUCCAAUGAUCUUGUGGCUCAGUCAGCUCCUCUCUCAAGCUCUGGAGAAACACUGACACCUGUGCUGGAGUUCAGCCUGACGGACUUGUUGUGCCUUUAUUAGAGCCAUGCAUCGAUGCACAAAGGGGACUUCCCACAUCACAGAGGUCAUCAUUGCACUUUAAACACAAACAAACAUUGUUUAUAUGAAGACUUGAGAAUCGUUGUGCAGGUGUGACAUUGUGGUUUUGUUGGGAGUCAUGUUUUACAGCUGAUAUGACUGAGAUUUGUCUGUCCAUCCAUUGUAAAACAAUACAUUAAUCAAUUCAGUAGUUUGUGUUGCUAUAGUUGCACUCCUGAAUUUACAUGGAAAGAUGCAAGAUAAUGAAUGAUACCAGGGAAAACAUUUUCUGUUAAAUAUUAAGGUCUUGUCUUUUUUUUCCUCUUUGAACUGAUUCACAUUCAGUCUAUUGUUUCAUUUUUUCAUGUGUGAA